AUACGGAGGGGGCUAGCGUUGUUCGGAAUUACUGGGCGUAAAGCGCGUGUAGGCGGAUCGUUAAGUCAGGGGUGAAAGCCCGGGGCUCAACCCCGGAACUGCCCUUGAUACUGGCGAUCUAGAGUCCGGAAGAGGUGGGCGGAAUUCCCGGUGUAGAGGUGAAAUUCGUAGAUAUCGGGAGGAACACCAGUGGCGAAGGCGGCUCACUGGUCCGGCACUGACGCUGAGACGCGAAAGAGUGGGGAGCAAACAGGAUUAGAAACCCUAGUAGUCC
RNAcentral lists this ribosomal RNA (274 nucleotides) under uncultured bacterium. Its description in RNAcentral is "partial 16S ribosomal RNA". It matches the Rfam family "Bacterial small subunit ribosomal RNA", at positions 523 to 796 of the family's 1533-position model. The record is from RNAcentral.